Amphiprion ocellaris (clown anemonefish) is the source of this 5374-nucleotide long non-coding RNA. The record is from Ensembl. NCBI's taxonomy places the organism in Eukaryota, Metazoa, Chordata, Actinopteri, Pomacentridae.
GGAGCCAAACGACAACAAGAUUCUCAGAGGGCGGAGCCAGAGAGCAGUGAUUGGACAGACCAUAGUUUAUAUAGCAGACAGCGCGCUAGCGUAUCUAGUCUAUGUAUAUAUAUGGUUGGCACGUCUGGUAGCAUCUCUGGCUGCUGUUGAUCUUGUUUUUGGAGUAAAACACGGUGGAAGCUGAAUUAGUGAGGAUGACUCCUGCUCCUGUCAUCUCUAAGCUCCUCACACAUCUUUACCUGCACAUGAGGAAAAUCACUCCUGUAGAAUGCAGAUGUUCAGAGGGAGAUGAUGCCACAUCUGGUCCAGCUGAUGGAAGGUCUUGAAGUUCUCUGACUGGCCUCGACUGAAGAUGGUCGUCUCACUGGAUUUAAGGUUCAGAUGCUCAGUAACAAACUCCACCAAUGUGCCAACAGGGAAGCUUUAGGUUUAUUAAAUGUUGCUAUGAAGGUAUCGCUGUUUUUCUUUGUGAAUGCAAUGUGCUCCAACUGAAAGUUGAAUUAGAACUUAGAAGUAAAUCCUUCCAUCUGAAAGGAUUUAAUUGCAUUAAUAACCUCAUAACAUUCUAAUUUUUAUUCCAGUCUUGGCUGGAAAUAGAAUCUCUGUAUUGAUUCAGUUAAAAACUGAACUUCACAGCAUGUUGAAGCAAAACAACCAGAUGAAAACUGUGAUGGUGUUGGAUUGUCAGACCGUAAUGUUGCAGCUCAAAGCAGCUUUUCUAUCUCAGUUCAUUCUGACAUUCAGCUAUGAAUCAACACAGCAGAUGGUGAUCCAUGCUGUGGAAGUCUCACAUCUCCUGAUUUAAUGGAGCUGCUUUGCACUUUUUACACUGUUUAUUCACCAACACUUUAUUUAAUAAAAGUCCCAUCUAGUUUUUAUGAGGAAUGUGAUGUUUUAAUUUCUCUGUGAAUAACUGCAGUCUAAUGUAACAGCUGGAGUUGUAACAUCUGUCCUGAUAUUGAUCAUGAAGUAUUGAUCAGAAUACUGAUGGUCAGCAGUCAUCCCUGAAGUUUUACAUUAAAAUCUUUACUUGUGUUGUGAACUUUGGUAAGAAGCAGAAACUUUUGCGUUGCCAUGGAUACAUGAGUGUUAAGUUCUGUCCAUGUUUCCAUUUUGGGAAAUGCAGUCCAGUUCCAGAAUGUGGAGGAAUUUAGUCUCACAAUCACAGACAAUAAAUAUUAUCUGAAAGUCGGGUUAUUGUUGUUUAUCAGCACAAUACAAAAAGAUUAAUGUUAGAAAUAUUCCAGUUAAGACUCUAGAAUAUCAUGAUUUAUGUAAAUUUACCUCAAUAAUAUGAAUCUUCAGGUUAAGAUUGUACAGUGAUAUUUAUUAUGUAAGUUUAGCUGAUUAAAGUUUAUGACUCUGCACUAAAAUAUUAUUUAAAUUGUCAUUAUUAUAAUAUUUAGGGUCAGACCCUACAGUAUUGAGAUUAAGAAAUCAAAUAUUCUAUAAAAUGUAAAUACACUGAACUCAUUUGGAUCUAUUUAAGUGAGACUCUACAGUAUUAUUUGACACAAAUCUAUCUAAAUCAAAAUUUUAAUCAUUUUCAUGCCAAACAUUUACUGGACUGAUUUAAAUAUUAAAAUCACUCCUUUCUAAUCCUCUGCUGUACGUUCAAACCUGAGGCCUUAAAUAGAAACACACAAGUAUCUGAUUGAAGGAACUUCUGCAGAGUCCUGGUUCCAGAACAUGAUGAUAGAAUUAUAGACAAACUUUAACAAAAGCUGCCUCAGAGUUUACAGAUUUUUAUGUUGGAUUUCUUCAGUAAUUUAAUGAGCGUUAUCAGCAAUAAUCAAGUGUUCAUUUGAUGAACUUCAUUUCCUAAAACAUCCAGAAUUGGAGCUCAUAUCUUUGGCAGCUGUAAAGUUUCUGCUCCUUCAAAGUUCACAACACAAUGAAUGAAUUCCUAAAACACUCAAUGCUGGAGAGCGUUUGUGAUGCUGAAGCAGUGAUCAGUUUUUCUGUUUCUUCUCUGGAGAAGCACAAUGAGGGACGUCUGCAGAGACUGAGAAAGAGUCUCGCCACAUCCUUACAUGAGGAAAAAGACUUUACUGAAGACUACAAUGAGGAAAACUAUCAGACAGCAGACAGCUGCAUUCAAGUCUGUAGCUGCUGAAUUCAUGGAUGAAUCAUCUGGCACUAGAGAAGAAAACCAUCAAGCAUCCAUGUCAGCUGAUGGAGGUCCAAGAGUCUCACCAAACAAACAACCUACAGAGUGAAGACCUCAAAUUUGAUUGGAUGGCCUCCUAUUCAGCCACAUGUGUGAACAAAUGCCUCUAAGCUGAUUUGUUUUCUGAAAUAAAUCUAGUUUGAGUCCUAGUCUAUGCCUGUGUGUUUGCUUCUUUACAUCGCUGUUAACAGUUUAGGCUGUUAGAUUGUUCCAGAUAAGACAAAUACAAGAUUCUUCAGAGCCGUUCUACCACGAGCCUGACAGGAAGAACUGCAACAGCUACUGAAUGUUCCUGUGGUCCCCUCAAGGCUACAGGAGGAGUCCUACGAGGACGAGCCGGUCCACCUGAUGGCGGCCAGUCGCUGCGGUUCAAAGCCAACACCGACUACGUGGACUUCUACUGGACCACACGGAGGUCUUCAAACCGGACCAACAAGUUCAGCGACUCCCCGACUCGUGGGUCUGAGGACGCCGCCGAGCCUCAGCCCAGCCGGCCUCCUGUCUGUGGGUGUUUGAGUGCUGAGAGGUUUGUGGAUGCAUGUGAACAUGUCUGUGUUGAAACAGCAGCUUUUGACUCAGUAACGCUGGGAAAAACCAAGAGCUCCUUUAUUUGUGACUUCCACUAAAAAAAACUGAUGAAAAUAAGUUUGCCAGGGUUCUGACUGAUAACAGGUUAUUAAAUAAUGAAAAUAAUCGUUUAAAUAUUACUUUAAACAAUCCUUUUAAGUCUACAUUUCCUUUACACUGACUUCUUGGUGUAUGUACAAGUAUUUUGGGUGGAAUAUACCAUUAAGCCCGAUGUUCAAGGGUUCUUCUGGGAAUAUACCAUUAAACCAACCUUUUAGGUAAAUGUUCCAGGAUGUUGAGUAGAAUAUACCAUCAGAUCAACCUUUUAGGUCUACAUUUGAAGAUUUUAGAGUAGAAUUUUACUCCAAACCAUCCUUUAGGUCUACAUUUAAGGUGGAAUACUCCUUUACACCAAGAUUUUUUUUGGUCUACAUUGAAAGAUUUUAGGUGAAAUAUUCCUUUGAAUGAACUUUUUAAGUUUAUGUUCAAGGAUGUUGGGUGGAAUAUACCAUCAGACCAACCUCCAAGGUCUACAGUAGUGAAUUUUAGGUGGAAUAUACCAUUAAACUCACCUUUUAGGUCUACAUUGGAGGAUUUUAGGUGGAAUUUUCUUCCAAACCGUCUUUUAGUCUACAUUUUAGGAUGUUUAGGAUGGUAUAUUCUUCCGAACCAACUUCUCAGGUCUACAUUUCAGGUGGAAUAUUCCUCCAUACUAACUUUUUUGGUCUACAUUGAAGGAUUUUUUCUAAACCGCCCUUUCAGGUCUAUAUUUGAGGUUUUAGGUGGAAUAUUCCUUUUAAGCAGCCCCCCAGGUCUCUUUGAGGAUUUUGGAUGGAAUACUCGGGUAAACCAACAUUUUAGGUGCAUGUCCAAGGAUUUGUGGUGGAAUGUUCCUUGAAGGUGGAUGUUUGAGGACCUUGUAGGUGGAAUACUUCCUGAAACCAACCUUUUAGGUCAACAUUCAAAGAUUUAAGGUGGAAUAUUCCUUUAAACCAACCUAAAUUUCAUGUUUUGAUCAUUAUCAAGUGAGAAACCUCAAUCCAGACUCCUCAUAAUGACGUUUGAGAUUUAUGCUGCUGUUAUUUGUUUAGUCCAGACUAAAUGACAGAAAUCCACAACUGUAAUUUUAUUUCAGGACUCUGUUAUUAAAUGUCAAAACAAUCCAUGUGACUCUAAAAACUCAACAGCUUUACAAACUCUAAGAUUAAACUCUCCACAAGGAUCCAAAAUAAAUUGGACUUCUACAUGAGAGCUUGAAUUAUUCUUCAUCUACUUCCUGAAAAGUUUGGUCAAUAAAAAAGACAAAAACUAAUAUUUUCAGCUGAACUAAAGACAGACUGUGAUUUCUCUGCUCACAUGUUGUGUUGUUGUAAACUUACUCUUUCAAAUAAAUACCUGCCUAACCCCCUGGAAACCAGCAUUUGUCCUGUUUUUGUGUUGCUCCUCGGCGACCCUAGACAGCCGAGUCGUAAUGUUUUUUGAGCAACACACCAUACUAUGACGUUUUUACAAUGAUGGUUCUACUAUGAAACCAGUUUGACAUGUUCAGGCGUUCUUUGUGUGAAAACUCAGAGAUUUCAGGUAUCAGAAGGCGGUUUUCAACUUUAACUUUCUGCCUCAACUUUAAACUAAAUUUCCUUCACUAACCCAGCCCUCUGGACUUCCAGUAAGCUGUGUUCCUAUUGGCUGUCCAGGUGGCUGCUUGGUGUUAUCAGGAACACCUGAGCAGCUCAGUGUCUUCCUGCUUUAUUUAGCUGCAGCCAAACAUUUCCUCUGCUUCUGUUCACCACUGAACUGGGUUUGUCCGUUGCUUCACUUUGUUCUUUAGGCGUUGGCUUGCAGCUUCCAGCAGUAAAAUUGUCUUUAAUGUGUUUCUUGGUGUGUUUUAGGGCUUUGUACUGGAUAGUUGUCUUGGUAAAUGUGGUUCUUUAGCCACAGUUAGCACAUGGUGCUAAUGUUUGCAGUGAUUAGUGGAUUUGGUGCAGCUGCGUUGUGUCUUUAUCUUGGCUGUAGUGAGUCUUUCGAGGUUUUUGGUCAGACACACUCUGUAUUCUUGUUUGAGAACCAGCGUUGGUUGUCCAGAAGGUAAGAGUUCCUGUCCUGAUUCUCUGUUCUCAGAGCUUCUCUGGUAGGCUGCAAGAGACUUUAGCGUUUGGGUUGUGCUAGUUUGGUUUUUGUAUGGUUUCAUUUGGACGACUAUCUUGAGGCCCCUCCAUGUGGUUUAGUGAGGUUUUCUGCAACAGUUCUACAAAGCAACCUGCAGCAGAAGAGACUUUGAGAGUUUUUAGGAAGUUCUGGAGACCAGACUUUAGAGCAGCAGAAACAUUUGUCAGCAGGUUGAGCAGGAGAAGGUGAGCUUCAGAGUAGAAGUGAGAAGGAAACCUUCUUGACCCGUGUGGUGAGGUCCUGUACCAAGAGUUUGAGCAGGUUGUGAAGAGUCUGUAGUUCUUUGGCCUGAAAGCACAAGAAGAGUCGACUCAUUAAAGGAGAAAACAGGAGAUAUUGUUGGUUCUUCUGUCGCUCUGCAGUUUCCUUAGACUGAAUAUCAAGUUUAUAUUUUAAAUGAUUUCCCAUGUGAGCCCAAGAAGACUUCAAUAAACUCCCUCCAUCCCCUGGACACAACAUAUUUUAUUACCA